GGAGCAUCAUUUACUCCAUCACCAGUCAUUCCACAUAUAUGUUUCCUAGCUUGCAAACGUUUGACGAUCUCGUACUUGUGCUCAGGGAAAACACCAGCAAAUCCAUCAGCCUUUUCAAUAAGUUCGUCAACGGGCAAAGCAGCUAUUGACUCAUCCUUGUUCUGUCCUAACAAGGCUGAUGAAGGAUACAUGUUGGUUCCCAUUCCGAGACGCCGUCCUGUUUCUUUUGCUAUUGCCAGUUGAUCACCUGUGAUCAUUUUCACAUUUACCCCGAGAUUCAAUGCCCUCCGAAUAGUCUCUGCACUAUCAUGUCUAGGUGGAUCAAACAGAGGCAUGAGGGCAAUAAAUUGCCAUGGACCUCCUAAGCUUUCCUUUCUACCUUCAGGAACUUCCUGGUAUGCCACUGCAAGAGAUCGCAAACCCCGUUCCGCAAACUUAUCAAUCACUGCAUGAACCCUACGUUCUAUCUCUGAUUUGUUGCGUACGAGAUUCAGAAUCUGCUCAGGCGCACCUUUGCUGACGCGAUGCAUUUUGCCUUCACUAUCAAUAUA
Molecule: unclassified non-coding RNA, 551 nt
Filed under: Hevea brasiliensis (rubber tree)
Lineage: Eukaryota; Viridiplantae; Streptophyta; Magnoliopsida; Malpighiales; Euphorbiaceae
Source: RNAcentral